AUGUAUCUUUUCAUGUCCCUGCAAAAGAGCUUAUCACUAUGUGUGUUCUGGUUAUAUAUCAACAAGAAUAGCAGAGGAACCGAUGGCAAAAAUAAGGAACAAUAUUUUUCUUAUUUUCAAGAAAGGCAUUUAGUUGAUUCAUGUCAGUUCUUGGAACUAAAGCAUCAUACAAUGAUAAGUAAUAGUAAGAUACUUGACACAUCUGAAGCUGAAAGUGUUCUCUUAUAUUUCUUAAACUUUUUCAUUGUAUUAUAUUCUAUAAGAGCGUCAAAGUUGUGUUCUGUUUUUUUGAUACAACAAUGA
This 303-nucleotide ribosomal RNA is filed under the name Triticum aestivum (bread wheat). RNAcentral describes it as "partial small subunit ribosomal RNA". Lineage: Eukaryota; Viridiplantae; Streptophyta; Magnoliopsida; Poales; Poaceae. The record is from RNAcentral.